UACGUAGGGCGCAAGCGUUGUCCGGAAUUAUUGGGCGUAAAGAGCUCGUAGGCGGCUUGUCACGUCUGCUGUGAAAUCCCGGGGCUCAACCCCGGGCGUGCAGUGGAUACGGGCUGGCUAGAGGCAGGCAGGGGAGAACGGAAUUCCCGGUGUAGCGGUGAAAUGCGCAGAUAUCGGGAGGAACACCGGUGGCGAAAGCGACUCUCUGGUCGGAUCCUGACGCUGAGGUGCGAAAGCGUGGGGAGCAAACAGG
Molecule: ribosomal RNA, 253 nt
Filed under: uncultured bacterium
Lineage: Bacteria
Description: partial 16S ribosomal RNA
Rfam family: Bacterial small subunit ribosomal RNA
Source: RNAcentral